This 1205-nucleotide ribosomal RNA is filed under the name Enterococcus faecium. RNAcentral describes it as "bacterial SSU rRNA". It matches the Rfam family "Bacterial small subunit ribosomal RNA", at positions 183 to 1375 of the family's 1533-position model. The record is from RNAcentral. Lineage: Bacteria; Bacillati; Bacillota; Bacilli; Lactobacillales; Enterococcaceae.
AAACCGCAUGGUUUUGAUUUGAAAGGCGCUUUCGGGUGUCGCUGAUGGAUGGACCCGCGGUGCAUUAGCUAGUUGGUGAGGUAACGGCUCACCAAGGCCACGAUGCAUAGCCGACCUGAGAGGGUGAUCGGCCACAUUGGGACUGAGACACGGCCCAAACUCCUACGGGAGGCAGCAGUAGGGAAUCUUCGGCAAUGGACGAAAGUCUGACCGAGCAACGCCGCGUGAGUGAAGAAGGUUUUCGGAUCGUAAAACUCUGUUGUUAGAGAAGAACAAGGAUGAGAGUAACUGUUCAUCCCUUGACGGUAUCUAACCAGAAAGCCACGGCUAACUACGUGCCAGCAGCCGCGGUAAUACGUAGGUGGCAAGCGUUGUCCGGAUUUAUUGGGCGUAAAGCGAGCGCAGGCGGUUUCUUAAGUCUGAUGUGAAAGCCCCCGGCUCAACCGGGGAGGGUCAUUGGAAACUGGGAGACUUGAGUGCAGAAGAGGAGAGUGGAAUUCCAUGUGUAGCGGUGAAAUGCGUAGAUAUAUGGAGGAACACCAGUGGCGAAGGCGGCUCUCUGGUCUGUAACUGACGCUGAGGCUCGAAAGCGUGGGGAGCAAACAGGAUUAGAUACCCUGGUAGUCCACGCCGUAAACGAUGAGUGCUAAGUGUUGGAGGGUUUCCGCCCUUCAGUGCUGCAGCUAACGCAUUAAGCACUCCGCCUGGGGAGUACGACCGCAAGGUUGAAACUCAAAGGAAUUGACGGGGGCCCGCACAAGCGGUGGAGCAUGUGGUUUAAUUCGAAGCAACGCGAAGAACCUUACCAGGUCUUGACAUCCUUUGACCACUCUAGAGAUAGAGCUUCCCCUUCGGGGGCAAAGUGACAGGUGGUGCAUGGUUGUCGUCAGCUCGUGUCGUGAGAUGUUGGGUUAAGUCCCGCAACGAGCGCAACCCUUAUUGUUAGUUGCCAUCAUUCAGUUGGGCACUCUAGCAAGACUGCCGGUGACAAACCGGAGGAAGGUGGGGAUGACGUCAAAUCAUCAUGCCCCUUAUGACCUGGGCUACACACGUGCUACAAUGGGAAGUACAACGAGUCGCGAAGUCGCGAGGCUAAGCUAAUCUCUUAAAGCUUCUCUCAGUUCGGAUUGCAGGCUGCAACUCGCCUGCAUGAAGCCGGAAUCGCUAGUAAUCGCGGAUCAGCACGCCGCGGUGAAUACGUUCCC